RNAcentral lists this ribosomal RNA (116 nucleotides) under Heliobacteriaceae bacterium. The record is from RNAcentral. Lineage: Bacteria; Bacillati; Bacillota; Clostridia; Eubacteriales; Heliobacteriaceae.
GCUGGUGACCAAGAGUGAGGAUACCACCCGUUCCCAUCCCGAACACGGUCGUAAAGACUCAUAUCGGCGACAAUACUUGGCGGGUCACCGCCCGGAAAGAUAGCUCGUUGCCAGCA